Molecule: ribosomal RNA, 423 nt
Filed under: uncultured bacterium
Lineage: Bacteria
Description: partial 16S ribosomal RNA
Rfam family: Bacterial small subunit ribosomal RNA
Source: RNAcentral
GUGGGGAAUCUUGCGCAAUGGGCGAAAGCCUGACGCAGCCAUGCCGCGUGAAUGAUGAAGGUCUUAGGAUUGUAAAAUUCUUUCACCGGGGACGAUAAUGACGGUACCCGGAGAAGAAGCCCCGGCUAACUUCGUGCCAGCAGCCGCGGUAAUACGAAGGGGGCUAGCGUUGCUUGGAAUUACUGGGCGUAAAGGGCGCGUAGGCGGACAGUUUAGUCAGAGGUGAAAGCCCAGGGCUCAACCUUGGAAUUGCCUUUGAUACUGGCUGUCUUGAGUACGGGAGAGGUGAGUGGAACUCCGAGUGUAGAGGUGAAAUUCGUAGAUAUUCGGAAGAACACCAGUGGCGAAGGCGACUCACUGGCCCGUUACUGACGCUGAGGCGCGAAAGCGUGGGGAGCAAACAGGAUUAGAAACCCCUAGUCC